GCCGAAAUCCCCGGAAAUCCAUAAUUACACGACUGAAAAUCGCAGUGUCGGUGGUUCGAUUCCGCCCCUGGGCACCA
This 77-nucleotide transfer RNA is filed under the name Microvirga mediterraneensis. RNAcentral describes it as "Microvirga sp. Marseille-Q2068 tRNA-Phe". Lineage: Bacteria; Pseudomonadati; Pseudomonadota; Alphaproteobacteria; Hyphomicrobiales; Methylobacteriaceae. The record is from RNAcentral.